RNAcentral lists this transfer RNA (65 nucleotides) under Escherichia coli TW07509. RNAcentral's name for it is "partial tRNA-Gly". It matches the Rfam family "tRNA", at positions 12 to 71 of the family's 71-position model. From Rfam's summary of the family: Transfer RNA (tRNA) molecules are approximately 80 nucleotides in length. The record is from RNAcentral. Lineage: Bacteria; Pseudomonadati; Pseudomonadota; Gammaproteobacteria; Enterobacterales; Enterobacteriaceae.
UCAGUUGGUAGAGCACGACCUUGCCAAGGUCGGGGUCGCGAGUUCGAGUCUCGUUUCCCGCUCCA